UACAGAGGUCCCAAGCGUUGUUCGGAUUCACUGGGCGUAAAGGGUGCGUAGGCGGUCGGGUAAGUCUGAUGUGAAAUCUCACAGCUUAACUGUGAAACUGCAUUGGAUACUAUCCGGCUCGAGGAAUGGAGGGGAGACUGGAAUACUUGGUGUAGCAGUGAAAUGCGUAGAUAUCAAGUGGAACACCAGUGGCGAAGGCGGCGAUCUGGGAACAUACUGACGCUGAGGUGCGAAAGCGUGGGGAGCAAACAGG
Molecule: ribosomal RNA, 253 nt
Filed under: uncultured bacterium
Lineage: Bacteria
Description: partial 16S ribosomal RNA
Rfam family: Bacterial small subunit ribosomal RNA
Source: RNAcentral